AGUCGAACGAGCGAGAGAGAGCUUGCUUUCUCGAGCGAGUGGCGAACGGGUGAGUAACGCGUGAGGAACCUGCCUCAAAGAGGGGGACAACAGUUGGAAACGACUGCUAAUACCGCAUAAGCCCACGACCCGGCAUCGGGUAGAGGGAAAAGGAGCAAUCCGCUUUGAGAUGGCCUCGCGUCCGAUUAGCUAGUUGGUGAGGUAAUGGCCCACCAAGGCGACGAUCGGUAGCCGGACUGAGAGGUUGAACGGCCACAUUGGGACUGAGACACGGCCCAGACUCCUACGGGAGGCAGCAGUGGGGAAUAUUGCACAAUGGGGGAAACCCUGAUGCAGCGACGCCGCGUGGAGGAAGAAGGUCUUCGGAUUGUCAACUCCUGUUGUUGAGGAAGAUAAUGACGGUACUCAACAAGGAAGUGACGGCUAACUACGUGCCAGCAGCCGCGGUAAAACGUAGGUCACAAGCGUUGUCCGGAAUUACUGGGUGUAAAGGGAGCGCAGGCGGGAAGACAAGUUGGAAGUGAAAUCCAUGGGCUCAACCCAUGAACUGCUUUCAAAACUGUUUUUCUUGAGUAGUGCAGAGGUAGGCGGAAUUCCCGGUGUAGCGGUGGAAUGCGUAGAUAUCGGGAGGAACACCAGUGGCGAAGGCGGCCUACUGGGCACCAACUGACGCUGAGGCUCGAAAGUGUGGGUAGCAAACAGGAUUAGAUACCCUGGUAGUCCACACUGUAAACGAUGAUUACUAGGUGUUGGAGGAUUGACCCCUUCAGUGCCGCAGUUAACACAAUAAGUAAUCCACCUGGGGGAGUACGACCGCA
RNAcentral lists this ribosomal RNA (818 nucleotides) under uncultured bacterium. Its description in RNAcentral is "bacterial SSU rRNA". It matches the Rfam family "Bacterial small subunit ribosomal RNA", at positions 60 to 890 of the family's 1533-position model. The record is from RNAcentral.